ACAUAAAGACCCUCUAGCUUUGUUAAAACCACAGAAUUAAUCUUUGAAUCAAACAGAGUUGCAAUUGCAUUGAUCCUCUGACAGUCAGAUGACACGUGGGUACCCACACCUGAAUAGCCACUUCUCUAACUUGGGUCUGUGGGAUUCAGGGCAGACAACAGAUGUGCUGAUGGAUUUUAGUUUCAGUCCAGUUCCCCUGGAACUUCACUGCAAUAUGUUCUGAUUUUUGUGAUUGUUUUGAUUAAUGUCAAUCAGAAAUGAAAAUCUGAAGGGAGAUUUUUCUCUAACACUUUAUACGUUUUGAAAUAUUCUCACCAUGGUCCCUGAACAGUGUUCUUCCCUCCCUUGUUCCAUCCACAAAGACCUGAAAUUAAGCACUUUUAAAGUGUCCUGACUAUCAAUUCACUGUGCCACUCUUUCCCUCAUUAACCUAGGCAGAUUAAAAGAAAUCUGAUUAAAGAAACUUUUUUUACUCACGAUUAUUCUUGGCGGUCUUUGCUGUUUUCUGCAGUACUUCAUAAAUCUCCUUCUUUCUUAUUUCAAAAGUGUUGCCAAGAAGAACCAGAAAGCCCCCUGCUUUCCUGAGCCAAAUCAGGAGUGUGGUGUUGGUGUGGGCUCAGCUGCUCUGACUGAAGACUCCCAUCCUGCACCUACAGCGUCUCCUGGGACUGAGUCCGUGCAGGACUCCGAAAAUGGCACCAGCUCAGUCAAACCCAAAGACCAUUUUAUUAUCAAA
Pseudopipra pipra is the source of this 736-nucleotide long non-coding RNA. RefSeq lists it as uncharacterized. The transcript is spliced from 2 exons. Lineage: Eukaryota; Metazoa; Chordata; Aves; Passeriformes; Pipridae. The record is from RefSeq and is a predicted model, not a curated record.